This 1063-nucleotide long non-coding RNA is filed under the name Lynx canadensis (Canada lynx). RNAcentral describes it as "lncRNA (ENSLCNG00005017262.1)". Lineage: Eukaryota; Metazoa; Chordata; Mammalia; Carnivora; Felidae. The record is from RNAcentral.
CUGGAGUGCACACUAAAACAUUUGCCAUUGAAUCUUUCCAUGACUCACUUAAAAAUUUUGGAGCACCCUAUGUGUCAGAUGGUGGGGUACAAAGAGCAGGACAUGCUCCCUAUCGGUCCUAAGACCUAGCAUGUUCCCAGCAUGGAGAAGGCACUCAAUGAGUGUUUGUAGAGUUGGACUGAAAUCAGCCCUGACAGAAAUAACCAUGUUUCCUGGCCAGGUGGCUCCAGUGUAUAUGAGUGGACACCCAGAUGAAGCCGGAUGGUAAUGGCUGGUCCAGGUCCAAAGGCUGCCGAGAACCAUACCCUGGACUAGCUGAGGCUGUGCCAUCUGGGAUUUCUGCCGAGGCAGCAGACAGACCGGGAAAAGGACCUGCCACAGAUAAGGAUUUGAGCGCAGAGACAGGACCACAGGACUGCAAGGUCAGCAGCCACAAGAAUGGACCUGAGAGGAAUACCAAUCGCUCUGCUCCUUUGUAAGGGAUAGAGAAGCCUAGAUUUCCAAAUUCAAAACACCCAUCCGGCUGCUUCUACAAAUCUCUGAAUAGGGAAUCAGUCCAGAGAUACAGAAAUUUUUUCCGCCAAUAUCUUACGGAGGACUUGCGUAACUCCACGGAGCUUCCAGUAAACACCAAGAACCCAAACCGGAGGUGUGCAGUGUGUGUAUGUGUGUGCUGUGUGUCCAAGGGUCAGAGACGUGCGCUCCCGCAGUGGCCUCAGACGCAAAUACCCAGGCCCGCCACCCAGUCGCCCGCUGAGAGGAUCUGGCCGCCAACUCCAGGAAACAAAAAACAACGACAAAACAAAAACAAACAAAAACCCCCCUCCAUAAUGGAUAUCCCCAGGGGUCUUCCCCCCCCCCUCCGAAAAAACGCGUUCCACUUUGUGGAACGUUCCAAUUUGUGCGGAAAUUAGAUGCACAAGGCAACUCAUUCCAUUCGGGAAGAUGAGAAGUGCUGCAGAAGCGAGACUGGCUGUAUGUGGGGACACGGUCCCCCAAACCGAAAGAGGACAUUCCCAGAAACCUCGUCUUGCCCCUCCAAGCGCCGGCCCGUGAGGUGGUG